Mercenaria mercenaria is the source of this 3549-nucleotide RNA transcript. RefSeq lists it as uncharacterized. The transcript has 12 exons. The record is from RefSeq and is a predicted model, not a curated record. NCBI's taxonomy places the organism in Eukaryota, Metazoa, Mollusca, Bivalvia, Venerida, Veneridae.
CUUCUUCAUUAAAUCAAAAUUAAUGACUGAUUUGUUUUUGUGUGUUUAAAUUCAGUUUUAUUUAUUUUUGCUGACAAAAAUAUUUUUGUGUAAAUAUGGGAAACUGUUUAUGGAGUUACAUGGCAGCUUUAAAGCCUUACUUUGUAAAGCGCGUGUCGUUAAUUAGUAUCUAUAUAUCUAUAGUAUCUAUAUCUAUUAGUAUAUGCACAUUGAAUGACAGAAGAACAUAGUGAAAAAUGUAAUAUGGAUUAUUCUUAUGCUAAAAGCAGAAAAGAAAGGUAUAGGGCGAGUCAGGGUUCGAGUCCCGACCGGUUGGACGCAACAAGGAAGAGUCUUGGAGCCACACAUAGAGACGAUAGCAAUGAUUAUGGUUUCGACUGGUUAAAUGGCGAAUACAAAGGGGAGGCGAGUCGCAGAGAAGAAUACAGCAUGUCCAGACGGGAUGCAGCAGAGGACUGGGACGCUUUUGGUGCGACCAUGCGAGAUGACAUUGGCAAUCGGAGACGCGACAAUUUAGGCCGAACCAUGAAAGAAAACUUAGGUGCCACGCGGCGCGUGGAUUUAGGCGCCACAGGCGACACGCGGCGCGAGGAUUUUGGUGCGUCUGCUGCAGACGGCCUUCGAGUUACUGGCGGGAAUCCAUAUCGGGAUAGCCGGUAUGGUAAUCCUGAGGUGCCACACUAUCGUCAUCUACAUGAUACCGGAAAUUACGGAGCCAGCAGAUCGAACUUACCCGCAUCUGUGAGAGUAGAAAUCUCAUAUCCUAAGGUAGAUCCGUACGAUACUGCGGUAAAAGAGAGACCUUUCUCAGUAAAUGGCGGACAAGAGACGGUAGUCGAGAAACCGAGGCGUUGGACGAGCAUAGCAGCCGACAGAGAUCUGAUGCAAGAAUGGCACACUAUGUUCGGUCAGAUCCGAACAAAGUGGGCGCCAAGCUCGGGGCUAGACGAUCCGGUAACUGUUUCCAAAUGGCUCGACGGCAAAUCAAGCAAGUAUGGUGACCGACGCCGGCGGAACCUUAGGCUGGCCAUUGUAGUAGCUGUAGUGGCUGCGGUUGUACUUAUGGCAGUCAUGGUGCCCACACUCCUACUUACACUCGGGGAAGAAAAAGAAAAAGAAGUGCUCGUACAGUACGAGUAUAAAGCAACAAUUGCAAACAGAGAGUACAAUGCAGACAUGGCCGACAGUAACUCUGUCGCCUUCAAGAACGUAGAAAACGAAUUUUGCAAUCAGCUGGAUCAAAAUGCGGCUAACGAGAGUAUAACGGAUUUUACAUACGAAGGAUGUUCGCUUAAGGAAAUCAAGAACGGCAGUUUGAUCAUUAUUUAUAUUAUCGUCAUCAAAACUUCACGUUCAAGCGACCAAGCGCUACCGACAGCGCAGCAAGUGAGCACCACUGUUGGUAUUAUAGUUGCUGCAACAAACGUACAAAAUUUCGGUGUUUUCACGAUUGUAACUGUCGAAAUUACAAUAGCACUACCAACUGUCAUCACGGGGAACCAGAACCCUGUCAAGAAAAAAGUACAGUUCAAUGGGACAUGCUCAGGUACCAAUAAAGAACGCUGUGUUACAAAACACUCUGAAUGUAAAGAUGGGGUUUGCAAAUGCCCAGUGGACAGAACCCAUGACGAUUCAUCCGAUAUCUGCACUGAAAUCGACUGUGGUGAUGGACCUAUCAUAAGCAACGGAACUGUAACGUCAAAUGGUACCAAAUAUGAAUCAACACUAAAUAUCACAUGUGACGAAGGUUUCGAACUUCACGACAAUACUACGAUUUAUUGUACCACACCAGGAUCCUGGGGAGACCUGCCAUUAUGCAUGCACGUUGAAUGCCCACAAUUUAUAACACCAAACAAUUCUGAAGUAGUCGCAAAUACCACUGGUCGUACGUAUACAGAUACCAUUGAAAUCACAUGUAUUAUGGGCUACAAGAUUGAUAGCAAUUUAUGCACUGUAACAUGUUUAGCCAACAGGUCUUGGAGUGAGGCCUCUGUUUGUUCUGUCGUAACUUGCAUUGCAUUUGACAUGCCAGAUAAUGCCACAGUUGCUUUGUACAAACAGCAAUAUGAAUACAAUGACAAUAUCACUGUUGUCUGUGACAAAAGGUACAAAAUUCAAGGUGACGAAAUUGUAAGCUGUCAAGCAAAUGAGUCAUGGACAGAUAUACCAACAUGUUCUCCAGUUGAAUGUGUUCCAAUUGAUAUACCAAACAAUGCAACAAUAGGAAACCAGACAACUGACAGCUAUAGGUUUGGGGAUGUUGUACAAGUGAGUUGUCAAGUUGGGUUUUCGCUAUCUGGCGUCAAUAAAGUGGAAUGUUUAUCAAAAGGAAAUUGGAGUGAAUUUCCAAAUUGUGAGAUAAUAGAUUGUGGACCAUAUGAGCCGAGCGGCGAGACAUAUACUAUUGAAUCCAGUUCUACAACUACGUAUAAUACCUCUUUGUCGGUUGCAUGCGUAGAUGGUCUUGAACUAACAAAUGCCUCAGUGAAGACCGUGUCAUGUGAAGCAGAUGGACAAUGGAAUGGACACAUCGAAUGCAAAAUUCCUGUGUCACCUUCUUUUACGGAAACUAGCUAUGCUUUCAUAGAGGACACGUCUGUAAAUGUCAUCUGCCAAGUGACGGGUUACCCAAACUGGAAAACACUACUCAUUGGAAAGGUUGAUGAUAAAAAUGGUGACAUUGUCAGUCAAAUGUUUACGAUCUCCAAUGUAACUGGCUCUGUCGUACCUGCUACCUUCGAUAACAACUAUACUACCAGCUACACACUGAAUAAAGAUGGUGCUUCAAUUUCACUCGAAUUUGACCAUGUGACAUGUGAGAAUGAAGGGUUGUAUAUGUGUGCUGCAAUUGUGGGCGAACUGGGAAGUCCAGUCGAAAUCAACAAUACCACCACAAUAGUAAAUAUAUUAACUGAUUCAACAACCCCAGAAAUAACUAUACCAGAUAAGGUAUACCUCGGCCGAGAGGCACAUGUAAAGUGCACUGGUCUUAUCGGAAAAGGGGAAUCUGGUCAACCUGAAGGACAACUUCUACUUGCAACCAGUUUCGGGGAUAAUGGUAGCAAUGUAACAUACAACGGAUCAGAAACAUCAGAAGAAGUAGACUGUUAUUUUAAAGCCUCGAUUUCAGUACCGAUACCUACUUCUAUAAUCACUUCAGACUUGUGGGCACAAUGUGUAAUUUGUCCUUUGCAUGGAGAUGACAUUUUGUCUGAAAAGACAGACAUUAACAUUCUGACGUCAUUUGUGAAUCUUGAAGGAUUGCAGUUCAAGAUUAUCACCAAAGAAAAUAACGAAUUUUGGCAUUUUGACGGAGGUAACCCUUAUGUAAGGCAGUUUCAUCUAUUUUUCAAGUAAACGAUGAUUUGUCAAAUUCGUGUUUGAGAAACAAGUGGACGAAACAUACAAAAUAAAGUCCGUCGGAAAGCCAAUCUAUAUGUACGAUGGGUAUAACGUCACUGAUGCGCCAGUGGAGUAUCUUCAUGGGAACGUGAACGACACUACUGACGACGACCACAUGCGCUUCAUCGUUUCCGCUGAGACCCAGGA